GACGAACGCUGGCGGCGUGCUUAACACAUGCAAGUCGAGCGGUAAGGCCCUUUCGGGGGUACACGAGCGGCGAACGGGUGAGUAACACGUGGGUGACCUGCCCUUAGCUCUGGGAUAAGCCUGGGAAACUGGGUCUAAUACCGGAUAUGACCCCAUGACGCAUGUUGUGGGGUGGAAAGCCUUGUGCGGCUAGGGAUGGGCCCGCGGCCUAUCAGCUUGUUGGUGGGGUGAUGGCCACCAAGGCGACGACGGGUAGCCGGCCUGAGAGGGCGACCGGCCGACACUGGGACUGAGACACGGCCCAGACUCCUACGGGAGGCAGCAGUGGGGAAUCUUGCGCAAUGGGCGAAAGCCUGACGCAGCGACGCCGCGUGGGGAUGACGGCCU
Molecule: ribosomal RNA, 387 nt
Filed under: uncultured bacterium
Lineage: Bacteria
Description: bacterial SSU rRNA
Rfam family: Bacterial small subunit ribosomal RNA
Source: RNAcentral